This 381-nucleotide long non-coding RNA is filed under the name Coturnix japonica (Japanese quail). Its description in RNAcentral is "lncRNA (ENSCJPG00005006839.1)". The record is from RNAcentral. Lineage: Eukaryota; Metazoa; Chordata; Aves; Galliformes; Phasianidae.
CCCACCUAGUGCUGGCUUAGCCGAACCCCAGGAGCCUUGGGACAAAUGAAGAAAAUGACAGGCUAGAAGGAAAUUAAUAGAGCAGAAAAUUUGAAAUGAUGUGGAAAUAAUUCCCCUGGCUUAAGGAGAGCUCCUUGUAUGCUUAAUUUCAGAACACAACUGUUUCCGUGUAGCUAAAUUACAGUAUCAAAGAGAGGGGCCCUGCCUGGAGCUGGUGGGACGCGGGGAUGUUUCCAUGCAUAUGGUGAGAUCUCCCAUCCGGAGCAAGCUCAGACAUGGGGAAAAACAUGUAAAUUCAAAACCUGCGAGAACUGAAAAUUUCAUAAGUGCUGCUGACCCCUCACUGGCAGCUCUGAAUGUGAGAGAAAUAAAGGAAUUGUA